AACGAACGCUGGCGGCAUGCCUAACACAUGCAAGUCGAACGAGACCUUCGGGUCUAGUGGCGCACGGGUGCGUAACGCGUGGGAACCUGCCCUUAGGUUCGGAAUAACUCCCCGAAAGGGGUGCUAAUACCGGAUAAUGUCUUCGGACCAAAGAUUUAUCGCCUUUGGAUGGGCCCGCGUUGGAUUAGCUAGUUGGUAGGGUAAAAGCCUACCAAGGCGACGAUCCAUAGCUGGUCUGAGAGGAUGAUCAGCCACACUGGGACUGAGACACGGCCCAGACCCCUACGGGGGGAAGCAGUGGGGAAAUUUGGAAAAGGGGCGAAAGCCUGACCCAGCAAUGCCGGGUGGGUUAUGAAGGCUUUGGGGUUGUAAAGCUCUUUUACCCGGGAUGAAAAUGACAGUACCGGGAGAAAAAGCCCCGGCCAACCCCGU
RNAcentral lists this ribosomal RNA (432 nucleotides) under uncultured bacterium. Its description in RNAcentral is "partial 16S ribosomal RNA". It matches the Rfam family "Bacterial small subunit ribosomal RNA", at positions 29 to 506 of the family's 1533-position model. The record is from RNAcentral.